Molecule: microRNA precursor, 109 nt
Filed under: Drosophila pseudoobscura
Lineage: Eukaryota; Metazoa; Arthropoda; Insecta; Diptera; Drosophilidae
Description: microRNA dps-mir-2553 precursor
Source: miRBase by way of RNAcentral
UUUGUACACCAACAUUUGUGCGUCUAAGAUCUGUGCAGUAUAUACAUACAUAGAAUACAAAAUAUUGCAGACUUCUCAGACUACAAAUGUGAACUGUCUGGUCUUCAAA